RNAcentral lists this ribosomal RNA (441 nucleotides) under uncultured bacterium. RNAcentral's name for it is "bacterial SSU rRNA". It matches the Rfam family "Bacterial small subunit ribosomal RNA", at positions 339 to 794 of the family's 1533-position model. The record is from RNAcentral.
AUACGGGAGGCAGCAAUUAGGAAUCUUGCGCAAUGGGCGAAAGCCUGACGCAGCGACGCCGCGUGACUGAUGAAGUCUUUCGGGAUGUAAAGGUCUUUUGUGGGGGACGAAGGAAGUGACGGUACCCCACGAAUAAGCCCCGGCUAACUACGUGCCAGCAGCCGCGGUAAUACGUAGGGGGCGAGCGUUGUCCGAAUUCACUGGGCGUAAAGCGCGCGUAGGCGGGCUUUUAAGUUGUGGGUGAAAUCCCGAGGCUUAACCUCGGAGCUGCCUGCAAAACUGGAAGCCUUGAGGUUUGGAGAGGGAAGUGGAAUUCCAGGUGUAGCGGUGAAAUGCGUAGAUAUCUGGAGGAACACCCGUGGCGAAGGCGGCUUCCUGGCCAUAUCCUGACGCUGAGGUGCGAAAGCUAGGGGAGCGAACGGGAUUAGAUACCCCGGUAGC